AGCGUACACGGUGGAUGCCCUGGCAGUCAGAGGCGAUGAAGGACGUGCUAAUCUGCGAUAAGCGCCGGUAAGGUGAUAUGAACCGUUAUAACCGGCGAUUUCCGAAUGGGGAAACCCAGUGUGAUUCGUCACACUAUCAUUAACUGAAUCCAUAGGUUAAUGAGGCGAACCGGGGGAACUGAAACAUCUAAGUACCCCGAGGAAAAGAAAUCAACCGAGAUUCCCCCAGUAGCGGCGAGCGAACGGGGAGGAGCCCAGAGCCUGAAUCAGCAUGUGUGUUAGUGGAAGCGUCUGGAAAGGCGCGCGAUACAGGGUGACAGCCCCGUACACAAAAGCGCAUGUGCUGUGAGCUCGAUGAGUAGGGCGGGACACGUGGUAUCCUGUCUGAAUAUGGGGGGACCAUCCUCCAAGGCUAAAUACUCCUGACUGACCGAUAGUGAACCAGUACCGUGAGGGAAAGGCGAAAAGAACCCCGGCGAGGGGAGUGAAAAAGAACCUGAAACCGUGUACGUACAAGCAGUGGGAGCACAGGUUUACCUGUGUGACUGCGUACCUUUUGUAUAAUGGGUCAGCGACUUAUAUUCUGUAGCAAGGUUAACCGUAUAGGGGAGCCGUAGGGAAACCGAGUCUUAACCGGGCGUUAAGUUGCAGGGUAUAGACCCGAAACCCGGUGAUCUAGCCAUGGGCAGGUUGAAGGUUGGGUAACACUAACUGGAGGACCGAACCGACUAAUGUUGAAAAAUUAGCGGAUGACCUGUGGCUGGGGGUGAAAGGCCAAUCAAACCGGGAGAUAGCUGGUUCUCCCCGAAAGCUAUUUAGGUAGCGCCUCGUGAAUUCAUCUCCGGGGGUAGAGCACUGUUUCGGCUAGGGGGCCAUCCCGGCUUACCAACCCGAUGCAAACUGCGAAUACCGGAGAAUGUUAUCACGGGAGACACACGGCGGGUGCUAACGUCCGUCGUGAAGAGGGAAACAACCCAGACCGCCAGCUAAGGUCCCAAAGUCAUGGUUAAGUGGGAAACGAUGUGGGAAGGCCCAGACAGCCAGGAUGUUGGCUUAGAAGCAGCCAUCAUUUAAAGAAAGCGUAAUAGCUCACUGGUCGAGUCGGCCUGCGCGGAAGAUGUAACGGGGCUAAACCAUGCACCGAAGCUGCGGCAGCGACGCUGAUGCGUUGUUGGGUAGGGGAGCGUUCUGUAAGCCUGCGAAGGUGACCUGUGAGGGUUGCUGGAGGUAUCAGAAGUGCGAAUGCUGACAUAAGUAACGAUAAAGCGGGUGAAAAGCCCGCUCGCCGGAAGACCAAGGGUUCCUGUCCAACGUUAAUCGGGGCAGGGUGAGUCGACCCCUAAGGCGAGGCCGAAAGGCGUAGUCGAUGGGAAACGGGUUAAUAUUCCCGUACUUGGUGUUACUGCGAAGGGGGGACGGAGAAGGCUAUGUUGGCCGGGCGACGGUUGUCCCGGUUUAAGCGUGUAGGUGUGUGUUCCAGGUAAAUCCGGUUCACUUUAACACUGAGGCGUGAUGACGAGGCACUACGGUGCUGAAGCAACAAAUGCCCUGCUUCCAGGAAAAGCCUCUAAGCAUCAGGUAACAUCAAAUCGUACCCCAAACCGACACAGGUGGUCAGGUAGAGAAUACCAAGGCGCUUGAGAGAACUCGGGUGAAGGAACUAGGCAAAAUGGUGCCGUAACUUCGGGAGAAGGCACGCUGACACGUAGGUGAAGUGAUUUACUCACGGAGCUGAAGUCAGUCGAAGAUACCAGCUGGCUGCAACUGUUUAUUAAAAACACAGCACUGUGCAAACACGAAAGUGGACGUAUACGGUGUGACGCCUGCCCGGUGCCGGAAGGUUAAUUGAUGGGGUCAGCGCAAGCGAAGCUCCUGAUCGAAGCCCCGGUAAACGGCGGCCGUAACUAUAACGGUCCUAAGGUAGCGAAAUUCCUUGUCGGGUAAGUUCCGACCUGCACGAAUGGCGUAAUGAUGGCCAGGCUGUCUCCACCCGAGACUCAGUGAAAUUGAACUCGCUGUGAAGAUGCAGUGUACCCGCGGCAAGACGGAAAGACCCCGUGAACCUUUACUAUAGCUUGACACUGAACAUUGAGCCUUGAUGUGUAGGAUAGGUGGGAGGCUUUGAAGUGUGGACGCCAGUCUGCAUGGAGCCGACCUUGAAAUACCACCCUUUAAUGUUUGAUGUUCUAACGUGGACCCGUAAUCCGGGUUGCGGACAGUGUCUGGUGGGUAGUUUGACUGGGGCGGUCUCCUCCUAAAGAGUAACGGAGGAGCACGAAGGUUGGCUAAUCCUGGUCGGACAUCAGGAGGUUAGUGCAAUGGCAUAAGCCAGCUUGACUGCGAGCGUGACGGCGCGAGCAGGUGCGAAAGCAGGUCAUAGUGAUCCGGUGGUUCUGAAUGGAAGGGCCAUCGCUCAACGGAUAAAAGGUACUCCGGGGAUAACAGGCUGAUACCGCCCAAGAGUUCAUAUCGACGGCGGUGUUUGGCACCUCGAUGUCGGCUCAUCACAUCCUGGGGCUGAAGUAGGUCCCAAGGGUAUGGCUGUUCGCCAUUUAAAGUGGUACGCGAGCUGGGUUUAGAACGUCGUGAGACAGUUCGGUCCCUAUCUGCCGUGGGCGCUGGAGAACUGAGGGGGGCUGCUCCUAGUACGAGAGGACCGGAGUGGACGCAUCACUGGUGUUCGGGUUGUCAUGCCAAUGGCACUGCCCGGUAGCUAAAUGCGGAAGAGAUAAGUGCUGAAAGCAUCUAAGCACGAAACUUGCCCCGAGAUGAGUUCU
This 2777-nucleotide ribosomal RNA is filed under the name Salmonella enterica subsp. enterica serovar Typhimurium. Its description in RNAcentral is "bacterial LSU rRNA". It matches the Rfam family "Bacterial large subunit ribosomal RNA". Lineage: Bacteria; Pseudomonadati; Pseudomonadota; Gammaproteobacteria; Enterobacterales; Enterobacteriaceae. The record is from RNAcentral.